Molecule: ribosomal RNA, 254 nt
Filed under: uncultured bacterium
Lineage: Bacteria
Description: partial 16S ribosomal RNA
Rfam family: Bacterial small subunit ribosomal RNA
Source: RNAcentral
GACGAGGGGUGCAAGCGUUAUUCGGAAUUAUUGGGCGUAAAGGGUGUGUAGGCGGCAUAUUAAGUCCGCUGUUAAAUCUUCCGGCCUAACCGGAAAUCAGCAGUAGAUACUGAUUGUGCUAGAGGGUGGAAGAGAGAAGUGGAAUUCUCGGAGUAGCGGUAAAAUGCGUAGAUCUCGAGAGGAACACCAAUGGCGAAGGCAGCUUCUUGGUCCAUACCUGACGUUGAGACACGAAAGCGUGGGGAGCAAACAGG